UACGGAGGAUCCAAGCGUUUAUCCGGAAUCAUUGGGUUUAAAGGGUCCGUAGGCGGUUUAGUAAGUCAGUGGUGAAAGCCCAUCGCUCAACGGUGGAACGGCCAUUGAUACUGCUAGACUUGAAUUAUUAGGAAGUAACUAGAAUAUGUAGUGUAGCGGUGAAAUGCUUAGAGAUUACAUGGAAUACCAAUUGCGAAGGCAGGUUACUACUAAUGGAUUGACGCUGAUGGACGAAAGCGUGGGUAGCGAACAGG
Molecule: ribosomal RNA, 254 nt
Filed under: uncultured bacterium
Lineage: Bacteria
Description: partial 16S ribosomal RNA
Rfam family: Bacterial small subunit ribosomal RNA
Source: RNAcentral